Molecule: ribosomal RNA, 470 nt
Filed under: uncultured bacterium
Lineage: Bacteria
Description: bacterial SSU rRNA
Rfam family: Bacterial small subunit ribosomal RNA
Source: RNAcentral
ACUCCUACGGGAGGCAGCAGUGAGGAAUAUUGGUCAAUGGAGGGAACUCUGAACCAGCCAUCCCGCGUGUAGGAAGACGGCCUUAUGGGUUGUAAACUACUUUUAUACAGGAAGAAACGUACCCUCGUGAGGGUGCCUGACGGUACUGUAGGAAUAAGCACCGGCUAACUCCGUGCCAGCAGCCGCGGUAAUACGGAGGGGUGCGAGCGUUAUCCGGAUUUAUUGGGGUUUAAAGGGUCCGUAGGCGGAUUAAUAAGUCAGUGGUGAAAUCCCAUCGCUUAACGAUGGAACUGCCAUUGAUACUGUUAGUCUUGAAUGAGGGUGCAGUGGUUGGAAUGUGUAGUGUAGCGGUGAAAUGCAUAGAUAUUACACAGAACACCGAUUGCGAAGGCAGAUCACUAACCCUAAAUUGACGCUGAGGGACGAAAGCGUGGGGAGCGAACAGGAUUAGAUACCCUGGUAGCGACUGA